AAAUAGGCCCAAACAACUGUUUAUCAAAAACACAGGUUUCUGCAAAAUCGUAAGAUGAAGUAUAGGGGCUGACGCCUGCCCAGUGCUGGAAGGUUAAAAGGAGGACUUAGCUUCGGCGAAGGUCUUAAUUGAAGCCCCAGUGAACGGCGGCCGUAACUAUAACGGUCCUAAGGUAGCGAAAUUCCUUGUCGGGUAAGUUCCGACCCGCAUGAAAGGCGUAAUGAUUUGGGCGCUGUCUCAACAAUAGACUCGGUGAAAUUUAAAUUCCAGUGAAGAUGCUGGGUACCCGCGACAGGACGGAAAGACCCCGUGGAGCUUUACUGUAGUUUGAUAUUGAAUGUUUGUGCUGCAUGUGCAGGAUAGGUAGGAGACUUUGAAGUCGGAACGCUAGUUUCGAUUGAGUCACCCUUGAGAUACUACCUCUGUUGUAUGAACGUUCUAACUCUGAUCAGUUAUCCUGAUCGAAGACAGUGUCUGGCAGGCAGUUUGACUGGGGCGGUCGCCUCCUAAAAGAUAACGGAGGCGCUCAAAGGUUUGCUCAGAAUGGUUGGAAAUCAUUCGUAGCGUGUAAAGGCAUAAGCAAGCUUGACUGUGAGACUGACAAGUCGAGCAGGUACGAAAGUAGGACUUAGUGAUCCGGUGGUUCCGUAUGGAAGGGCCAUCGCUCAACGGACAAAAGCUACCCCGGGGAUAACAGGCUCAUCUCCCCCAAGAGUCCACAUCGACGGGGAGGUUUGGCACCUCGAUGUCGGCUCAUCGCAUCCUGGGGCUGUAGUCGGUCCCAAGGGUUGGGCUGUUCGCCCAUUAAAGCGGUACGCGAGCUGGGUUCAGAACGUCGUGAGACAGUUCGGUCCCUAUCCGUCGUGGGCGCAGGAAAUUUGAGAGGAUCUGUCCUUAGUACGAGAGGACCGGGAUGGACAUACCUCUGGUGUACCAGUUGUUCUGCCAAGAGCACCGCUGGGUAGCUACGUAUGGAUUAGAUAAUCGCUGAAAGCAUCUAAGUGAGAAACUAACCUCGAGAUGAGAUUUCCCAUUCGUCAGAAGUAAGACCCCUGAGAGACGAUCAGGUAGAUAGGCUAGAAGUGGAAGUGUAGUGAUGCAUGGAGCGGACUAGUACUAAUAGGUCGAGGACUUAACCAAG
RNAcentral lists this ribosomal RNA (1141 nucleotides) under Oenococcus oeni. RNAcentral's name for it is "bacterial LSU rRNA". It matches the Rfam family "Bacterial large subunit ribosomal RNA", at positions 1783 to 2925 of the family's 2925-position model. Lineage: Bacteria; Bacillati; Bacillota; Bacilli; Lactobacillales; Lactobacillaceae. The record is from RNAcentral.